UGGUGGUCCCACCUGACCCCAUGCCGAACUCAGAAGUGAAACGCCGUAGCGCCGAUGGUAGUGUGGGGUCUCCCCAUGCGAGAGUAGGGAACUGCCAGGCA
Molecule: ribosomal RNA, 101 nt
Filed under: Escherichia coli 2-222-05_S3_C2
Lineage: Bacteria; Pseudomonadati; Pseudomonadota; Gammaproteobacteria; Enterobacterales; Enterobacteriaceae
Source: RNAcentral